CAGUGUUUCUCUCCACGUGCUGG
Molecule: microRNA, 23 nt
Filed under: Petromyzon marinus (sea lamprey)
Lineage: Eukaryota; Metazoa; Chordata; Hyperoartia; Petromyzontiformes; Petromyzontidae
Description: pma-miR-4595
Source: miRBase by way of RNAcentral